UACUCCUACGGGAGGCAGCAGUGGGGAAUAUUGCACAAUGGGCGAAAGCCUGAUGCAGCGACGCCGCGUGAGCGAAGAAGUAUUUCGGUAUGUAAAGCUCUAUCAGCAGGGAAGAUAAUGACGGUACCUGACUAAGAAGCACCGGCUAAAUACGUGCCAGCAGCCGCGGUAAU
This 173-nucleotide ribosomal RNA is filed under the name uncultured bacterium. Its description in RNAcentral is "partial 16S ribosomal RNA". It matches the Rfam family "Bacterial small subunit ribosomal RNA", at positions 334 to 524 of the family's 1533-position model. The record is from RNAcentral.